This 1426-nucleotide ribosomal RNA is filed under the name Listeria monocytogenes. RNAcentral describes it as "16S ribosomal RNA". It matches the Rfam family "Bacterial small subunit ribosomal RNA". The record is from RNAcentral. Lineage: Bacteria; Bacillati; Bacillota; Bacilli; Caryophanales; Listeriaceae.
CGUGCCUAAUACAUGCAAGUCGAACGAACGGAGGAAGAGCUUGCUCUUCCAAAGUUAGUGGCGGACGGGUGAGUAACACGUGGGCAACCUGCCUGUAAGUUGGGGAUAACUCCGGGAAACCGGGGCUAAUACCGAAUGAUAGAGUGUGGCGCAUGCCACGCUCUUGAAAGAUGGUUUCGGCUAUCGCUUACAGAUGGGCCCGCGGUGCAUUAGCUAGUUGGUAGGGUAAUGGCCUACCAAGGCAACGAUGCAUAGCCGACCUGAGAGGGUGAUCGGCCACACUGGGACUGAGACACGGCCCAGACUCCUACGGGAGGCAGCAGUAGGGAAUCUUCCGCAAUGGACGAAAGUCUGACGGAGCAACGCCGCGUGUAUGAAGAAGGUUUUCGGAUCGUAAAGUACUGUUGUUAGAGAAGAACAAGGAUAAGAGUAACUGCUUGUCCCUUGACGGUAUCUAACCAGAAAGGCAUGGUUACUACGUGCAGCAGUCGCAGUAUUAUGUAGGUGGCUAGCGUUGUCCGGAUUUAUUGGGCGUAAGCGCGCGCGGCGGUCUUUUUAAGUGUGAUGUGAACAGCGCCGUGGCUUCACCGGGGAGGGUCAUUGGAAACUGGUAAGACUGGAGUGCAGAGAGGAGAGCGGAUUUCCACGUGAGCGUGAAAUUGCGAGAUAUGUGGAGGAACACCAGUGGCGAGGGCGACUCUCUGGUCUGUAACUGACGUGAGGCGCGAAGCGUGGGGAGCAAACAGGAUAGAUACCUUGGUAGUCCACGCCGUAAACGAUGAGUGCUAAGUGUUAGGGGGUUUCCGCCCUUUAGUGCUGCAGCUAACGCAUUAAGCACUCCGCCUGGGGAGUACGACCGCAAGGUUGAAACUCAAAGGAAUUGACGGGGGCCCGCACAAGCGGUGGAGCAUGUGGUUUAAUUCGAAGCAACGCGAAGAACCUUACCAGGUCUUGACAUCCUUUGACCACUCGGGAGACAGAGCUUUCCCUUCGGGGACAAAGUGACAGGUGGUGCAUGGUUGUCGUCAGCUCGUGUCGUGAGAUGUUGGGUUAAGUCCCGCAACGAGCGCAACCCUUGAUUUUAGUUGCCAGCAUUCAGUUGGGCACUCUAAAGUGACGCCGGUGCAAGCCGGAGGAAGGUGGGGAUGACGUCAAAUCAUCAUGCCCCUUAUGACCUGGGCUACACACGUGCUACAAUGGAUGGUACAAAGGGUCGCGAAGCCGCGAGGUGGAGCCAAUCCCAUAAAACCAUUCUCAGUUCGGAUUGUAGGCUGCAACUCGCCUACAUGAAGCCGGAAUCGCUAGUAAUCGUGGAUCAGCAUGCCACGGUGAAUACGUUCCCGGGCCUUGUACACACCGCCCGUCACACCACGAGAGUUUGUAACACCCGAAGUCGGUAGGGUAACCUUUAUGGAGCCAGCCGCCG